UACGUAGGGUGCAAGCGUUGUCCGGAAUUAUUGGGCGUAAAGAGCUCGUAGGCGGUCUGGCGCGUCUGAUGUGAAAAUCCAGGGCUCAACCCUGGACCGGCAUUCGAUACGGGCAGACUAGAGUUCGGCAGGGGAGACUGGAAUUCCUGGUGUAGCGGUGAAAUGCGCAGAUAUCAGGAGGAACACCGGUGGCGAAGGCGGGUCUCUGGGCCGGUACUGACGCUGAGGAGCGAAAGCGUGGGGAGCGAACAGG
RNAcentral lists this ribosomal RNA (253 nucleotides) under uncultured bacterium. RNAcentral's name for it is "partial 16S ribosomal RNA". It matches the Rfam family "Bacterial small subunit ribosomal RNA", at positions 524 to 776 of the family's 1533-position model. The record is from RNAcentral.